UUAGAGUUUGAUCCUGGCUCAGGAUGAACGCUAGCGGUAGGCAUAACACAUGCAAGUCGAGGGGCAGCUGGUUUGGUAGCAAUACUGAAUGUCAGGCGACCGGCGGAUGGGUGAGUAACGCGUACGCAACCUACCUUGUACAGUGGGAUAGACACUGGAAACGGUGCGUAAUACCACGUAAUAAUAUAGAUAGGCAUCUGUUUAUAUGGGAAGGGUACGUAAGUAUUGGUAUAAGAUGGGCGUGCGUAGGAUUAGAUAGAUGGUGGGGUAACGGCUUACCAUGUCGACGAUCUUUAGGGGUUCUGAGAGGAAGGUCCCCCACAUUGCAACUGAGAACGGUGCAAACUCCUACGGGAGGCAGCAGUGAGGAAUAUUGGUCAAUGGGCGGAAGCUUGAACCAGCCAUACCGCGUGCAGGAAGGCGGCCUUAUGGGUUGUAAACUGCUUUUAUAAUGGGAUAGUGAUUAUAUCGUGCAUAUGAUAGGGAAGGUACAUUAUGAAUAAGUAUCGGCUAACUCCGUGCCAGCAGCCGCGGUAAUACGGAGGAUACGAGCGUUGUCCGGAUUUAUUGGGUUUAAAGGGUGCGUAGGCGGUUGAUUAGGUCUAUGGUGAAAUGGUUGUGCUCAACACAAUUUAGCUGUAGAAACCGGUCGGCUAGAAUAUAAGUGGCGUAGGCGGAAUAAAGCGUGUAGAGGUGACAUUCAUAGAUAUGCUUUAGAACACCGUUCGCGAAGGCGGCUUACGAAGGUAAAAUUGACGCUAAUGCACGAGAGCGUGGGUAUCGAACAGAAUUAGAUACUCUGGUAGUCCACGCUGUAAACGAUGAUAACUAUAUGUCGGCGAUAAGAAUGUCGGUGUAGAAGUGAAAGCGAUAAGUUAUCCACCUGGGGAGUACGAUCGCAAGGUUGAAACUCAAAGGAAUUGACGGGGGCCCGCACAAGCGGAGGAGCAUGUGGUUUAAUUCGAUGAUACGCGAGGAACCUUACCCGGGCUUGAACUGCCAGCGGACGAUACAGAGAUGUUGAGGCCCUUCGGGGCGCUGGCGGAGGUGCUGCAUGGUUGUCGUCAGCUCGUGCCGUGAGGUGUCGGCUUAAGUGCCAUAACGAGCGCAACCCCUCUCCGUAGUUGCCAUCAGGUGAUGCUGGGCACUCUGCGGACACUGCCACCGCAAGGUGUGAGGAAGGUGGGGACGACGUCAAAUCAGCACGGCCUUUACGUCCGGGGCUACACACGUGUUACAAUGGGGGGUACAGAGCGCCGGCUUGCCGCAAGGAGAGUCCAAUCGCGAAAACCUCCCUCAGUUCGGACUGGGGUCUGCAACCCGACCCCACGAAGCUGGAUUCGCUAGUAAUCGCGCAUCAGCCAUGGCGCGGUGAAUACGUUCCCGGGCCUUGUACACACCGCCCGUCA
Molecule: ribosomal RNA, 1409 nt
Filed under: uncultured bacterium
Lineage: Bacteria
Description: 16S ribosomal RNA
Rfam family: Bacterial small subunit ribosomal RNA
Source: RNAcentral